AUGAGGUCACACAAUAUCCUGACCAGGCAGCAUCUGUUACAAACUGAGGGACAGGUUUUAUCCAGCUCUGAAGCAAAAAUGGAGGAUCAUCAGAACAGCUGUCAGAAGACUGGAAAGAAAUCUUGGAGAUCAUGUGUAAGUGUUCAUGAUGGGAGAAAGUAUCCUGCCUCCUCCCCAUCUCUGUUCCAUCCCAGAGAACAUGUUGUCUUCCAGCCAUUUUAGCCAGAGGGGCCUGCCAGAGUCACUAAAAAUGAAUUAAAUUGACUGUGUAGCUCCCCUAUCCCCCAAGAAAGUGUUUAUCAUUGUUAUCAUCUUCCCAUUUCCUCUCAAUGCUUCUUGGUAACAAUCUCUGCUGCUAGUGUCAAAAAGAUACAGAAAAGAUUUUACUGUCAUAACGUGCUUCUAACAUUUAUUACUCUCCAUGGCCAUGCAACUAGCUUAAAAAGUAACCUUUCAAACCACCAUGGGAGGAAGAGGAUGGGGGCUGUUGAUAACCCUGAAGACAAAAAUAGAAUGUUAAAACUUCAACUGAUCCCAUUCUGAUUCUUUCAACAGCUUCUUUCCUCUUUCAGAGUUUUGAAAGCUUACAUUUAAAGAAGUUUCCAAGAGAGGACUGGACAAAGGCUUAAGACAAAGCAAGUCUAUUCUACAAAACAGAUAAAUAAAAAAUAAGAAACAAAUAUCAAACAAAUAAGUUGCUUUUAAGCACUGUCCCCUCUCCAUGCCCUGUAAAUAAUUAAUCAUAAAAUAUAUAAAAUGAAAGCUAUCUGCAUUAUUCCAAAGGUCUAUUAGCAAUUUUUUUUAGUGAUUUUUCCAACUAUAUUGUGUCGACACCAAUAGUUUUAAUAACAGAAAGAUGACACUAGGAGAUUUUAGGAUAAAAUAAUUAUAAUAUAGCUCUUAGAAGAACAGUUUUUAUAAUUAGAUAGCUUGAAAUCAAAUAUGGAUUCUGCCUCUUUCUAGCUAGAGGAUGAUCAGAUAAGCUACUUAACCUUCUGAAGCUCUAGUCUGGUUUCCAUUUGUAAACUGGUGUUAUUAAUGGUACCUUUUUUUUACAGGGAUCUGUGUAAUUAUUAGGUGAGAUAAUGUUCAUAAAGAUCUUGGAAGAGAAUCCACCAAAUAAUUUGCUCUAAAAUAAGUAUUGCUUAUGAUACAGCUCAUUAUUUUCUGAUAAUUUCAUUUUAUAAAGUGUCACAAAGAAGCACAUGAAGUUUUGUUUUGAAUCUGGUUAAAGGCUUCUCUAGUGGUUCAUAUGGUAAAGAAUCUGCCUACAAUGUGGGAGACCUAGGUUCCAUCCCUGGGUUGNNNNNNNNNNNNNNNNNNNNNNNNNNNNNNNNNNNNNNNNNNNNNNNNNNNNNNNNNNNNNNNNUGGGCUAUAGUCCAUGGGGUCACAAAGAGUUGGACAUGACUGAGCAGCUGGGCACAAGUGAUGUUGAAGGAACACUGAACUUAAGGGUGGGGAAUGCACAGAGGAAAAAGAUUGGUUCAUUCAUUCAUUCAUUU
Molecule: long non-coding RNA, 1503 nt
Filed under: Capra hircus (goat)
Lineage: Eukaryota; Metazoa; Chordata; Mammalia; Artiodactyla; Bovidae
Description: lncRNA (ENSCHIG00010023987.1)
Source: RNAcentral